Molecule: ribosomal RNA, 472 nt
Filed under: uncultured bacterium
Lineage: Bacteria
Description: bacterial SSU rRNA
Rfam family: Bacterial small subunit ribosomal RNA
Source: RNAcentral
UGGGGAAUUUUGGACAAUGGGGGCAACCCUGAUCCAGCAAUGCCGCGUGAGUGAAGAAGGCCUUCGGGUUGUAAACCGCUUUUGUCAGGGAAGAAACGGUCUGUCUUAAUACUGCGGACUAAUGACGGUACCUGAAGAAUAAGCACCGGCUAACUACGUGCCAGCAGCCGCGGUAAUACGUAGGGUGCAAGCGUUAAUCGGAAUUACUGGGCGUAAAGCGUGCGCAGGCGGCUUUGCAAGACAGAUGUGAAAUCCCCGGGCUCAACCUGGGAACUGCAUUUGUGACUGCAAGGCUGGAGUGCGGCAGAGGGGGAUGGAAUUCCGCGUGUAGCAGUGAAAUGCGUAGAUAUGCGGAGGAACACCGAUGGCGAAGGCAAUCCCCUGGGCCUGCACUGACGCUCAUGCACGAAAGCGUGGGGAGCAAACAGGAUUAGAUACCCUUGUAGUCCCUGAGCGGGCUGGCAAGGCGCAU